GAAAUGCGAUAAGUAAUGUGAAUUGCAGAAUUCAGUGAAUCAUCGAAUCUUUGAACGCACCUUGCGCCCCUUGGUAUUCCGAGGGGCAUGCCUGUUUGAGUGUCAUGUUAAUCUCAAACCUCGGGUCUUUUUAACUAGAGACCUGUUCGGUUUGGACUUGGAGGUUACUGCUGGCUCCCUUCUGUGGUCGGCUCCUCUGAAAUGCAUUAGCUGGACUUUGGUUCGCAUCUACGGUGUAAUAGUAACUUGUAUUCGCCGGGUGCUUACCUAGGGAGUCCGCUUCUAAUCGCCCCCCUCGGGCAAGGUCUCCUUUUGUGACCUUCUUGAACACUUUGACCUCAAAUCAGGUAGGACUACCCGCUGAACUUAA
This 370-nucleotide unclassified non-coding RNA is filed under the name uncultured Hymenochaetaceae. RNAcentral describes it as "sequence contains ITS1". The stretch from base 1 to 105 matches the Rfam family "5.8S ribosomal RNA", at positions 50 to 154 of the family's 154-position model. The record is from RNAcentral. Lineage: Eukaryota; Fungi; Basidiomycota; Agaricomycetes; Hymenochaetales.